Molecule: non-coding RNA, 74 nt
Organism: Jatropha curcas
Lineage: Eukaryota; Viridiplantae; Streptophyta; Magnoliopsida; Malpighiales; Euphorbiaceae
Source: Rfam
GGUCCCGUAGCUCAGUUGAUCAGAGCGUGACUCUUAUAAGCUGAAGGUCGCGGGUUCGAAUCUCACCGGGACCA